RNAcentral lists this ribosomal RNA (253 nucleotides) under uncultured bacterium. RNAcentral's name for it is "partial 16S ribosomal RNA". It matches the Rfam family "Bacterial small subunit ribosomal RNA", at positions 524 to 776 of the family's 1533-position model. The record is from RNAcentral.
UACGUAGGGUGCAAGCGUUGCCCGGCAUUAUCGGGCGUAAAGAGCUCGUAGGCGGUUUGUCGCGUCUGCUGUGAAAGUUCGGGGCUCAACCCCGGAACUGCAGUGGGUACGGGCAGACUAGAGUGCGGUAGAGGAGACUGGAAUUCCUGGUGUAGCGGUGGAAUGCGCAGAUAUCAGGAGGAACACGAGUGGCGAAGGCGGGUCUCUGGGCCGCAACUGACGCUGAGGAGCGAAAGCGUGGGGAGCUAACAGG